Molecule: ribosomal RNA, 255 nt
Filed under: uncultured bacterium
Lineage: Bacteria
Description: partial 16S ribosomal RNA
Rfam family: Bacterial small subunit ribosomal RNA
Source: RNAcentral
UACGAAGGGGGCUAGUGUUGCUCGGAAUCACUGGGCGUAAAGGGUGCGUAGGCGGGUCUUUUAAGUCAGGGGUGAAAUCCUGGAGCUCAACUCCAGAACUGCCUUUGAUACUGAGGAUCUUGAGUUCGGGAGAGGUGAGUGGAACUGCGAGUGUAGAGGUGAAAUUCGUAGAUAUUCGCAAGAACACCAGUGGCGAAGGCGGCUCACUGGCCCGAUACUGACGCUGAGGCACGAAAGCGUGGGGAGCAAACAGGG